UAGGGAAUCUUCCGCAAUGGGCGAAAGCCUGACGGAGCAACGCCGCGUGAGUGAUGAAGGUCUUCGGAUCGUAAAACUCUGUUAUUAGGGAAGAACAAAUGUGUAAGUAACUAUGCACGUCUUGACGGUACCUAAUCAGAAAGCCACGGCUAACUACGUGCCAGCAGCCGCGGUAAUACGUAGGUGGCAAGCGUUAUCCGGAAUUAUUGGGCGUAAAGCGCGCGUAGGCGGUUUUUUAAGUCUGAUGUGAAAGCCCACGGCUCAACCGUGGAGGGUCAUUGGAAACUGGAAAACUUGAGUGCAGAAGAGGAAAGUGGAAUUCCAUGUGUAGCGGUGAAAUGCGCAGAGAUAUGGAGCAACACCAGUGGCGAAGGCGACUUUCUGGUCUGUAACUGACGCUGAUGUGCGAAAGCGUGGGGAUCAAACAGG
RNAcentral lists this ribosomal RNA (429 nucleotides) under Actinomycetes bacterium. RNAcentral describes it as "Actinobacteria bacterium partial 16S ribosomal RNA". It matches the Rfam family "Bacterial small subunit ribosomal RNA", at positions 355 to 776 of the family's 1533-position model. The record is from RNAcentral. Lineage: Bacteria; Bacillati; Actinomycetota; Actinomycetes.